RNAcentral lists this ribosomal RNA (407 nucleotides) under uncultured haloarchaeon. RNAcentral describes it as "bacterial SSU rRNA". It matches the Rfam family "Archaeal small subunit ribosomal RNA", at positions 430 to 837 of the family's 1478-position model. Lineage: Archaea; Methanobacteriati; Methanobacteriota; Halobacteria; Halobacteriales; Halobacteriaceae. The record is from RNAcentral.
ACACAACAAGGGCUGAGCAAAGACCGGUGCCAGCCGGCCGCGGUAAUACCGGCAGCCCGAGUGAUGGCCGAUCUUAUUGGGCCUAAAGCGUCCGUAGCUGGCUGCGCAAGUCCGUCGGGAAAUCCACUCGCCCAACGAGUGGGCGUCCGACGGAAACUGCACAGCUUGGGACCGGAAGGCUCGAAGGGUACGUUCGGGGUAGGAGUGAAAUCCCAUAAUCCCGCACGGACCACCGAUGGCGAAAGCACUUCGAGAAAACGGAUCCGACAGUGAGGGACGAAAGCCAGGGUCUCCAACCGGAUUAGAUACCCGGGUAGUCCUGGCCGUAAACAAUGUUCGCUAGGUAUGACACAGACUACGCGUCUCUGUGUGCCGUAGGAAGCCGAGAAGCGAACCGCCUGGAAGUA